AUUGAACGCUGGCGGCAUGCUUUACACAUGCAAGUCGGACGGCAGCGCGGGCUUCGGCCUGGCGGCGAGUGGCGAACGGGUGAGUAAUGCAUCGGAACGUGCCCAGUAGUGGGGGAUAGCCCGGCGAAAGCCGGAUUAAUACCGCAUACGACCUGAGGGUGAAAGCGGGGGACCGAAAGGCCUCGCGCUAUUGGAGCGGCCGAUGUCGGAUUAGCUAGUUGGUGGGGUAAAGGCUUACCAAGGCGACGAUCCGUAGCUGGUCUGAGAGGACGACCAGCCACACUGGGACUGAGACACGGCCCAGACUCCUACGGGAGGCAGCAGUGGGGAAUUUUGGACAAUGGGGGCAACCCUGAUCCAGCCAUGCCGCGUGCGGGAAGAAGGCCUUCGGGUUGUAAACCGCUUUUGUUCGGGAAGAAAUCCUCUGGGCUAAUACCCCGGGGGGAUGACGGUACCGGAAGAAUAAGCACCGGCUAACUACGUG
Molecule: ribosomal RNA, 484 nt
Filed under: uncultured bacterium
Lineage: Bacteria
Description: partial 16S ribosomal RNA
Rfam family: Bacterial small subunit ribosomal RNA
Source: RNAcentral